This 442-nucleotide ribosomal RNA is filed under the name uncultured bacterium. RNAcentral's name for it is "bacterial SSU rRNA". It matches the Rfam family "Bacterial small subunit ribosomal RNA", at positions 958 to 1401 of the family's 1533-position model. The record is from RNAcentral.
AACGCGAAGAACCUUACCAGGCCUUGACAUCCCCUUGACCGGUACAGAGAUGUACCUUCCCUUCGGGGCAAGGGUGACAGGUGGUGCAUGGUUGUCGUCAGCUCGUGUCGUGAGAUGUUGGGUUAAGUCCCGCAACGAGCGCAACCCUUAGCUUUAGUUGCCAGCACCUCGGGUGGGCACUCUAGAGCGACUGCCGGUGACAAACCGGAGGAAGGUGGGGAUGACGUCAAAUCAUCAUGCCCCUUAUGGCCUGGGCUACACACGUACUACAAUGGCCGGUACAACGGGCUGCGAAAGAGCGAUCUGGAGCGAAUCCCACCAAAGCCGGCCUCAGUUCGGAUUGCAGGCUGCAACUCGCCUGCAUGAAGUCGGAAUUGCUAGUAAUCGCGGAUCAGCAUGCCGCGGUGAAUACGUUCCCGGGCCUUGUACACACCGCUACAGU